Molecule: ribosomal RNA, 504 nt
Filed under: uncultured bacterium
Lineage: Bacteria
Description: partial 16S ribosomal RNA
Rfam family: Bacterial small subunit ribosomal RNA
Source: RNAcentral
AUUGAACGCUGGCGGCAGGCCUAACACAUGCAAGUCGGACGGUAGCACAGAGAGCUUGCUCUUGGGUGACGAGUGGCGGACGGGUGAGUAAUGUCUGGGGAUCUGCCCGAUAGAGGGGGAUAACCACUGGAAACGGUGGCUAAUACCGCAUAACGUCGCAAGACCAAAGAGGGGGACCUUCGGGCCUCUCACUAUCGGAUGAACCCAGAUGGGAUUAGCUAGUAGGCGGGGUAAUGGCCCACCUAGGCGACGAUCCCUAGCUGGUCUGAGAGGAUGAACAGCCACACUGGAACGGAGACACGGUCCAGACUCCUACGGGAGGCAGCAGUGGGGAAUAUUGCACAAUGGGCGCAAGCCUGAUGCAGCCAUGCCGCGUGUAUGAAGAAGGCCUUCGGGUUGUAAAGUACUUUCAGCGGGGAGGAAGGCGGUGAGGUUAAUAACCUCGCCGAUUGACGUUACCCGCAGAAGAAGCACCGGCUAACUCCGUGCCAGCCGCCGCCGUAA